GACGGGGACCCGCACAAGCGGUGGAGCAUGUGGUUUAAUUCGAAGCAACGCGAAGAACCUUACCAAAUCUUGACAUCCUCUGACCCCUCUAGAGAUAGAGUUUUCCCCUUCGGGGGACAGAGUGACAGGUGGUGCAUGGUUGUCGUCAGCUCGUGUCGUGAGAUGUUGGGUUAAGUCCCGCAACGAGCGCAACCCUUAAGCUUAGUUGCCAUCAUUAAGUUGGGCACUCUAAGUUGACUGCCGGUGACAAACCGGAGGAAGGUGGGGAUGACGUCAAAUCAUCAUGCCCCUUAUGAUUUGGGCUACACACGUGCUACAAUGGACAAUACAAAGGGUAGCGAAACCGCGAGGUCAAGCAAAUCCCAUAAAGUUGUUCUCAGUUCGGAUUGUAGUCUGCAACUCGACUAUAUGAAGCUGGAAUCGCUAGUAAUCGUAGAUCAGCAUGCUACGGUGAAUACGUUCCCGGGUCUUGUACACACCGCCCGUCACACCACGAGAGUUUGUAACACCCGAAGCCGGUGGAGUAACCAUUUGGAGCUAGCCGUCGAAGGUGGGACAAAUGAUUGGGGUGAAGUCGUAACAAGGUAACC
Molecule: ribosomal RNA, 590 nt
Filed under: uncultured Staphylococcus sp.
Lineage: Bacteria; Bacillati; Bacillota; Bacilli; Caryophanales; Staphylococcaceae
Description: bacterial SSU rRNA
Rfam family: Bacterial small subunit ribosomal RNA
Source: RNAcentral